AGAAUGAACGCUAGCGAUAUGCUUAACACAUGCAAGUUGAACGUUGUUUUCGAAUCAGAAUGAGAACAAAGUAGCGAACGGGUGCGUAACACGUGGGAAUCUGCCGAACAGUUUGGGCCAAAUCCCGAAUGAAUAAAAGCUAAAAAGCGCUGUUUGAUGAGCCCACGUAGUAUUAGGUAGUUGGUUAGGUAAAAGCUGACCAAGCCUACGAUGCUUAGCUGGUCUUUUCGGAUGAUCAGCCACACUGGGACUGAGACACGGCCCAGACUCCUACGGGAGGCAGCAGUGGGGAAUCUUGGACAAUGGGCGAAAGCCUGAUCCGGCAAUAUGGCGUGAGUGAAGAAGGGCAACGCAGCUUGUAAAGCUUCUUUCAUCGAGUGUGCGAUUGUGACAAGACUCGAAUAAGAACGCCCCGGCUAACCUCCGCGCCAGCAGCCGC
This 439-nucleotide ribosomal RNA is filed under the name uncultured bacterium. RNAcentral's name for it is "SSU rRNA". It matches the Rfam family "Bacterial small subunit ribosomal RNA", at positions 26 to 518 of the family's 1533-position model. The record is from RNAcentral.